CUGACGAUCAUCUUACAGUUCUGAAACACAGCUGCUGCGUCACCAAAGAUGAAGUCGAUUGUUCCAGAGAUAAUGCAGUCGCGGUAGAAUUGCCUGUGGGUCUGGGUGUAGAGAGUAUCUUGGUAACCGUCUAUCUGGCAGUUGUAGAAGAUGGACAGGUCGGAUUGAACACGCAGUGCCACGGCUUGGUGUCCUCUGGCUCCAGCAGUGUUCUCAAAUCCUAUGUCCUUAGCAAUGAAGUAAUCUCCGAUCACAGCUGCAUGCGUCAUAAAUUUAAAAUGUACUUUUAAAGAGUUUCAUUUGUUAGGUAUCAAAAACUUAUGCAUGUCACACGAAUUAGAUAUCGACACUCACCGACAGUUGCGGUUUUGAACGUUUGGACACCAUCGGCAUAGUUCUUGUUACCGGUGAUCUUGGUCUUGGUAGGGCCAUCACCGAUGAACAUGACAUUGGUCAUGUGCUUGUCCAGAACCACCUGCUCACUGUACACACCCUCCUUGAUGUAGAUCACAAACGUCUUUAGAACGUUAUCCUUAGGGAUAUCCUUGAGCGCCUCAUUGACAGUCUUGUAUUUUCCGCUUCCGUCCUUGGCGACUAUAACGUCAGGCUUAAGGGAGAUGGGAUUGGCAGUGGCGAUGUCGAGCUUGCGUCCUUCAAUCCAUGAAGGUAUGAUCUUAGGCGCCUUCUUUGGGUCCAUAGGAGUAUCUGCCAAGAGACGACGUUGGCUUUUAAGGCUGCUGGUUCUGAAGAGGUUGCCGAUUUCAGUGGCCAUAGCGAGUGCAUUCUUGGUGAGUUCUUGUGAUGUCUUUAAAAAGUUCUUCAUUUUAGCCCCGGCUUCACCAGGGGUAUUGUCGAACCCAUCCAAGCAAGUCUGUUCGUAUUGUAGGGAGGCACUAAGCCACACCUUAAGGUCUUCAACGUACUCUUUGAGCUUGGUCACUUCGAACGGGCCGAUCUUGUCAGCUGACCUCUUUAGAUCGUCAAUGGAGUACUCAAUGAGCUCCCUGCAGUUUUGAAGUGCCUGGUUUCCCAGAUUAUCCUUGGCAAUCUCUUUUAAGGUGUCAGAGUUAUUGAUCACCUCUUGGAGUUUCUCUAUGGCGAUCUGGAAACCUAUCUUUACAAGCUCUUUUGGGUCGGUGACGUUGCCGGCUUUUUCAGAUAGGGCAUUCUGGCAGGUUUCCUUGUAAUCUGUUGGUUGGCAGACGGUUUCGAUUGCCUUAGAGGUUGUGGCUGGUUUCUUCUCGUCAUUUCCGCCUUUAUGGCUUUUGGUGACCCCAACAGCCACAGCAACCACCAUGGCCACCAGAAUCAACGCCGACACGCUAAUGAUGGCGAUCUUCUUCUUCUUGCCGUGUCGGUCAUUUCCGCCCAUGUUGAAUGAUUAACAAUAAGUCUCAAAGACAAACGGUGCGGGUAUCCUGGUGGUGAAAAAGAUAUAAGAGAUUUUUUGUUUUGUUCUUCUUUUUCAGGUGUGUUGCUGCAUGCUGUUGGGGCCCCUUUUUAUUGGAACGUUUUUAUUCAAGCAGUGCGCAGUAGUUGCUUAUUGAUGCCUCGCUGCUUGGAAUGUUUUUGGGAAUGAAUGAAUUUAUAGGGGAUAAGAUCUCCAAAUGACAGUUUUUGCAGUUAGGAAACUUGAGGUGUGGUACGUCUCCAUCUAAUUAUAAUUAGUGGUGGUUGACGAUUUCCUAUUUUGGGUUAAUAAAUUGAAUGAAGCUUCCGAGCAUGGUUGUAGCAACAAUAAUUUUACAGGAGCUACUCAUCAAUCAUUACCGGUACAAGGUGGUCGGCUUCCCCAUAUCCUAACAACAACAAAAAUAAUCAUCGCCGUAAGAGAUUUUACAGGAGCCAAUUAUAAUACACUAGCCUCUUAACAUGUGCGAAUUUUUCUAAAAAAUAAAAUAAAAUGAAAUAGAGAUGUAGUGGGGCAAGUUUGCAAAUAGUAUUUUAGUUGGACAAAAAUGUAAAAUGUAGAAGUAUUAAAAGGCAAAUAAUAUUACAUUCUUAACAUUGUCUAAUAUUUUCAGGUUCUUCAACAUUUUGCAAUAUUAUGCACAAAUUGGGAAGUUCAAUUUUUUGGUUUCAAGCUUUAACACCAAAACUUGGGUUUCCCAUUAUAAGAGUUGAGAUUAACACGUAUUGAGUCGAUCUAUAUAUUGUAUAUGUAUUCUUUGUAGGCUAAGAUCGAUGUUAGACAACCGGUGUGUAUGUAUAUGGUCACACCAUCGAGAUGAGCAGAUAUAGUGUAUAUUGGACGCAGGGGCGGAGCCAUUUGAAGGCCUGAAGGGGUUCAUACCCCCCCCUAUGAUUCCACCACAACCAAUAUUAGAUAGCUAACAACAUUUCUUAGUCUACUUACUACGAAGGAAACCUAUUUUUAACGACAUAAUUACUAUGAAGGAAAUCUUGAUUUAGCUACAUGAGUACGUAAACAACAACAACAAACUUAAUAAAUAAUAAAUAAUAAACUUUGGUGGAAUAUUUUUAAAAGUAUGUUGUACUUGUGGUUAAUAACUCUAUAUAUGGACGAAUAAUUUGUCUGUUAUAUACUAACUUUUUCUUCACAUAUAUGUAUACAGUUGUUUAACUUUUUGAAAAUAAUAAUAAUAUCUUGUGUUAACAAAAAAAUCACAAGCUUAUUCUCGAACUAACAGUUUAUAUAUCGGACCCCCCAAGAUGAUAAAUCCUAGCUCCACCAUUGAUUGGACCUCAUAUAAUCAUGUGGAGACGUAGUUUCAACUUUCAACUAAGUAAAGUAUUGCAAUUUCGAUCGGGGCUUGAUUACAAUUCAUUGCAUUGACAAGGGAUUGAUAUAUAGGGGUAUGGUUACCUCGGCUAUAUAUACGAGAAAAACGACUUUGGUCUAACAUUUAGGUAUAUGAGAUUUAAUAAAUGUAUCGAUAUUUUUCUGUUUUAGAUAUUAGAUUAUCCAAAUCGAUACAUUUUUGUAGGGGUGGGCAUAAAAUCUCGUAAUCUUGUAAUCCUGAACCCGUCCUGGUCCCGUCCUGAAAUUUGUCGGGACGGGACGGGAUUUAAAUCUCAAAACGUUAGGCCUGUCCCGUUCCGUCCCCUCCCUAUACAACGGGAUGACGGGACGGGACGUGGUAUGGAUAAUUCAAAUCCCGUUUAGCCCCGUCCCGAUUAUUUUAAUGAUUGAUUGUUUAUUGAUUGAUAAGUAAUUUAAACCUUUCAUUUAAGUGUUUUAAUCUUAGCUCUUUGUUUCUUUAAGUUACUAGGUUGUCUCCAAUUCAAUAACAAUGAUGUUUAAUACUUUAAUUUGUUGAUUGUUGCACACUCUCUUCUUGCACCGUAGUAAUGAUGACAAGUUUAGAGAAAGUAAGCAGUAAACUCUUUUAUUACACCGUGUUAUAUUUGUAAAUAUAUUACAAGUACUUGUUAAUACUUAAUAGAGUAAAUAACACUAUAAAACUAUGAAACAUUUUCUUUUGCUUACAAGUUUAUUUUUAACUUUUUUAUCUGGGACUGGACCCGUCCCGUCCCAACUGAGAUAAGGCUCGGGUGGGAUGAAAUCUAAAAAACGCAAAACCCGUCCCGUCCCAUCCUGAUUUCAAUAUCCGUUGCGGGUUGUAGGAUUAGCUCUAUCCUGUCUCAUCCCGUCCCAUGCCCACCCCUAUAUUUUUGAAGUACUACAUGUUAAAAAGAAACAUGCCUAAGACCCUAAAUUAUACAAAAAAAUCUUACACCAUAUGAGGUGGCAUAUGUCACAUGAUCUGAAGAUUUCUAGCAUGCCAUUCAAUUUAUUUAUUUUUUAUCUAAAAAAUAUAUUGAUGUUUUGUUAGAAAACUGAUGGUAUCAUUAUUCUAGAAAAUUAGAAGGAUUAAAUUCAGUUUAAACACCUCCCCCCCCCUAAUGAAGUUUGCGGUUAACUUUAUUUCAGUCUCAUUUCUUCCAAUUUUAAAAAUAUCCCUCUUGAUUUUCUAAUUUUCAUCAAUCGUGCCCAUUCUCUAAGAUUUUGCAUUAAAUGCUAACAUGAAAUCUUAAAAAAUAGACCAUAAAGUGUGACUUUUGUCGUUAAAUUAUUGUUUUAGCCCUUAGAGAGAGCCAUAAAGUCAAAAUUAACGUUCAAAUUUGAUAAAAGAAAGUUGGAAAAUUCAUGGGGUAAAUUUUCAAAGUUGAGAGAACGUACGUACAUGGACUGAAAUGAAGUUCACCAGAAACCCGAGGGGGGUAAAAUGAAUUUAAUCAAAAUUAAAACUAACUAAUGGUAUCAAUGAAUUAAGUUGUUGCCACUGAUCUUGCUCUAAUCGAAAUUGCACAAUUUCAAGGAACAAAUUGAGAAUCAAUUCUUGGGGAUAAGAAGCCCUAGAUUUGUGCCAGUGUUUGCACAUUACAUGUGUUGUCUGCUUUAAGUGGUCGGUGAGUUUCUUGUUUCAUCAAAUGGUCAUUGCCUCCUAGUGGUACGGUGAAUCUAAGUAUCGUCAAAUUUAUUUUCUGACGGCAACAUAGUUGGACAACUGAAUUAUUUGAUAUUAUGAUGUGUAAGCGUGUUACAUAUCUAGUGAUCUUUCAAGUAUUUCAUUGUUGUGUGAAAGCAAAUACAUUAGAGCAAUACUUUUUUCUAUUUGGUGACUGCUUAAGUACAUAUUUAUUGUAGAUUUAUGAUGUUAUUUCAGGUCUUUAUAAUAACGAGUUUAGGCUUAGUGUUACCCUUGUAUUCAAAAUAUUCAUUAAUCAAGACUUGGGGGCAGUCGUACCAGCCUUUUAUUAAUAUAUAUAUAUAUAUAUAUAUAUAUAUAUAUAUAUAUCCCUAGAUUCUUGAAUCAAUGAGCGGAUAUCAUAAAGCGAUAUGCAUGAAAGCAAGAAAGAUUAUGUUCCAAUUGAAAGAGCAAAUUCGUGGGCAUAACUAUACCAAUCGAGAAUCAAAUGCAAUUUCCUUUUUGUCAAUGUUGUGUUGCUUUUAUGAUUGCAAAUUAAUUGUGUCCAUUUAGAAAUCACUAAUAAAGUCAUUAAAACUAUGCCCCUAAGGUUAUAUGUUUACAUGGUUAUUAGAUGGGGUGUGAAACUCAAGAGCUAGAGUCUGAUCGAAUAUGAAUAUAUAUCUAGAGGACAUAUACAACAAGAGUGAUAUGCUUCUUCAGUACAACCUAGCUAGUCAAGAAGAAGCUUCAAGCUUGAGUGUUGUUUUGGAGUACAUUGACGAGACAUGGCCGUAGCACAAUCUGCUUACAACAGACCUUCAAAUGAGGGCUAUAUGUCUCGAUUUUGGAUAACAAGAUGCACGACCUUAUAGGAUUUUAUAAUAGUUGGUGAAUUUAUAGAAAAUAAAAACAGUACAAGAAGCCGAUGAUUGUCUGCAGAUCUUUGAAGAGCAUGGGCUCGAGGAGAAGUUCUUCGAUGGUAGUGAACAAAAUUGGGACAAUAAUAAUUAACAUAUUCAUAUCGUAUAGAGAGAUGCAUGGUUACCCAAUUGAGAAGCUUGAGUUGUGGAUCGACAGCUGCAGAGAAGGUGCCCAGAAACAAGGCCAACUGGCGAAGCUUGCAUUAUGCCAUCAUCACCCACUACAGAUUUCAAAUCUACUUUUUCUAUCUUUUGGUUUAAGACUGAUAAUAUUACAAUAUAUAUUUAUAUAUGUGAUAUGUCUGAAGGUUUAGAGAGCACAAAGUAAUCCCAAGCACGCUCAGUAAUCAUGUGGCAAAGUUGUAUACUAAAUAUUACAAGAACUCAGUAAGAGUGGGAUGAACAGAAUUGGGAGGUGAUCGAAGCUAGUAAACAAACAUAGGCAACUAGUCACCGACUAGACAUGCCUCCCGCUCCCAGUAACAAUAAGAAGGUGAAAAAUUUCCCACUAUUACUUGAAUCCUUUUGGCUAACAAACUGUAGUGCGCGCUUACACACGCAUCAGUCCAGCCUCAUAUGGCACACCGCUGGGCUUGAUCCAGUUUUCACCGAACAGAAGACUGCUUGCGGAAAACUCGUCGGCUUGAUCGCGGGUGACCAUCUUAAACCAGCUCACCCUCUUGUUGGUGGCCGAACCGGAUCCCCUGUUUGAGAACUCGCCGAACCAGCAUUCCUCAGUGUUGCUUUGGCCAGUCCAUGGUGUCCAGCCCUCGGGGCUGAUGACAUCAUCGAUCUGGGAUUGCAUCACGACGGUCCUGGAGUAGGUGUGUGCUGGCCUGCCCAAGAAGGCCGUUUUGUCCUUGUAUUCUUUGUCGGCGCUGAUGGUGCUGUUUUGGAAGACGAUGGCGGUAGGCUGGCGCUUGUCGCUCCUUUCUUGGGCAGUGACCGUGGCCUUGUCAUCUCCUUCGGGCUUCCUGAUGAUCAUCUUGCAGUUCUGGAACACGACGGCUGCGUCACCGAAGAUGAUGUCCACGGCUCCUGAGAUGGUGCAGUCGCGGUAGAAUUGCCUGUAGGUCUGGGUGAAGAGAGUGUUUUGGUAACCAUCCAUCUGGCAGUUAUAGAAGAUGGACUGGUCGGAUUGAACACGCAGUGCCAUGGCUUGGUGUCCUUUGGCUCCGGCUGAGUUCUCGAAUCCCAUGUCCUUUGCGAUGAAGUAGUCUCCGAUCACAACUGCACGCGUCACAAUUUGGACAAUCUAAUAAGUUAGCUGAUCGCAAAAACGUAUGCAUGUCACAUUUGCAGUCUUAAAUGAUAGCUCACUCGGUCACCAUUAAAAAAAAAAGAAAACAAAUGCAUGCAUGUCACAUGAUUUAUAUAUUUCCGAAACUCACCGACAGUUGCGGUUCUGAAUGGAUGGGUACCAUCGGCAAAGUUCUUGUCACCGGUGAUCUUAG
Molecule: long non-coding RNA, 6750 nt
Filed under: Fragaria vesca (wild strawberry)
Lineage: Eukaryota; Viridiplantae; Streptophyta; Magnoliopsida; Rosales; Rosaceae
Description: long non-coding RNA (FVES_LNC001880)
Source: RNAcentral